GUCAGGAAAUCAGGGUGACUCAGCACCCAUGGGUGCUGGGGACCUUGUUAGAAACCCUGCUUGGGACGGGGUUGGUUCUGGGUGUCAGGCUUGUGUUGGGGACCAGGCAGGCAGUGACUCUGUAGAAGGGGCUGGUCCAGACAGCCCCAGUCCGGGCAGGUACUUCGGGACAGGAGGAAGGAGGCCAAGAGAACAGACCUGGUCAGAGGGGCCGGACUCAAGACUGGACGUGCUAGCAAGCCUUGGCCAACUGUAAAGGGAUGGGGCAUUCAGUCUUCAGGUGGAGGGCUCAGGAUGUGUUUGCCGCCUUCCCCUAAGGCCAGGGCGGAGAGGUCUCCCAAGGUCAGCAUGGGACGGUACCGGGGAGAGGCAGCUUUUAUUAAAUUCAAACUCAGGGUGUCAGAUCCCCUGGAACUGGAGCUACAGACAGCUGUGAACUGCC
Molecule: long non-coding RNA, 442 nt
Organism: Myodes glareolus (Bank vole)
Lineage: Eukaryota; Metazoa; Chordata; Mammalia; Rodentia; Cricetidae
Source: RefSeq, a predicted model, not a curated record